CGUGUAGGCGGCCGUUUAAGUUGGGUGUGAAAGCCCGGGGCUCAACCCCGGGACGCCGCCCAAGACUGGACGGCUUGAGGACGGAAGAGGGGAGUGGAAUUCCAGGUGUAGCGGUGAAAUGCGUAGAGAUCUGGAGGAACACCCGUGGCGAAGGCGGCUCCCUGGUCCGUCCCUGACGCUGAGACGCGAAAGCGCGGGGAGCGAACG
RNAcentral lists this ribosomal RNA (207 nucleotides) under uncultured bacterium. Its description in RNAcentral is "partial 16S ribosomal RNA". It matches the Rfam family "Bacterial small subunit ribosomal RNA", at positions 568 to 774 of the family's 1533-position model. The record is from RNAcentral.